UGAUAUGCUAAUAGAGGUAGACAAGGACGCGCAACCAUUUCCUGGGUAUAGUACCUUAUGGUAUUCUCUGAAUUUGAUUUUUACAAGGGAAAACAGACACGAUGCCUAGUCAUUCUUUAUUGUUGUUUCUCCUGUUCGGAGGUGCGGCCAGUCGCCGUUAUAACGAGAUGCAACUUGACUUCAUCGUCUACUCAGCCAAAGGCACACAAAGAAAAAGAAAGAGCGAGCUGAAAUCCCAAGUCAAACGCAGUUGUGCAUUACAGUGGGUGGGGAUGGACAACAACGCGACGGACAAAAAAAAAUCCAGCAGUCAAGAGAAUCAAAAGGCAAAAAUGCGACUCGACGAGAAGAUCAGCAGCGUCGCGUUCGGUCGAUUAACUAAAAUCGAUGCAGACAAAAAUGUGCCACGAAUAAGAGUGUGUGUCCUAGGAUCAGCGGCCGUCGGAAAAACGGGUAAAUUCCAUUGCCUUGCGAGGGUUAGAAUGACAUUUAUUCCAAUUAAAAAAAAAAAUGGGGCUUUUAUCUUAAUCAAAAUGUUGUUUAAUAAUCACGACACCGCAUUCGUUCGCAACCUACGCUUGGUUUCUUUGUGUUGCCUAGCAACGCGGAUGCGACGCUCAUCACCUGCAGACUAACACUCCUUCGCAAAGCUGCUAUUAUCUCUUAUUCAUCCGACUGAAAGGUCAAUUUUCGCGACACCCACCACUUCUUCGCAAAAAAAAAAAUGGGCACGUUCGUGCAACGGCAACACCAUUAAAAAUCUAUAUCUAUUUUUGCACUGUUUACGUUGCAGCUGUUGUGGUUCGUUAUUUGACCAAUCGAUUCAUCGGAGAAUACUGCACGGGAAAAGGCGGAUUUUUCUUUCCCAACGGUUCAUGUUUCAUGGGCAGACGCAUGUAUAGUUGUCUAUUCUAUCGGAAAUAGCUCGAGUUUCGAGGCCGCAGCUACGAUGCUUGAAAAAAUACAGAGUCUCAAAAUGCCUUUUUAUCUACCGGUACUUUUGUUGGCGAAUCAAAAAGAUCUCGAACAUCUUCGUCAGGUUAGAGUCGAGGAUGGCCAAGCGUUGGCGGUACAAAACAAUUGCCACUUUGCUGAGCUUUCGGCAGCUGAAGACGUCGAGGGAGUGGAACUCACGAUGACGGCGUUGUUUCGAGAGGUGCGGACGCUCAAGUCACAACGAACAGCCGUUCGCCAGAAAAAACCUUCCCUAAUGCACGUCACAAAGUUAUUUAGCUCAUUGAUUGGCCGUUCCUCUGGCUCUUCCUUCAGUGAAGCGGACGGAGAAAAGCCCAAACUAAAAAGUAGUUCAACUGCAUCGUCGCUUCACACGAGCGACGAAAGUGAAAGCAAAGUGAAUACGCCAACAGAGAAGGAGGUCAAAUCGAAUAAAGGAAUAAAAAAACGACCUUCUUUCUCUCUAUAAUUGCUUACGUCUACCUCUGUCACCCACAACCAACCGGCGUCCGACCAGACGGUUAAAUUCCACGCAUCGGACAAAUUACUAAUGGCAUUCCUUUUCAAUCGUCAGUUGCUCUAACGAGAUGAUCUCUUUUUACCCGAUAUAUAUUUUGUUUACACAGUCUCAUUGGAAGGCUGCCAGAAGUGUAGCCUCCAACCUCAUUGCAUGUUUGACGCCAAUGACAGUAUUGAAUAUAAUUUUAAUAAACAGAAACAAAGAAUAUCCGCUACAGCUUGACCCACUACUAAAGUAAUGAAAUCUAACCUUAUUGGAGGAAUUUUGCAUGAUGGCUGAAAUGGUCUUCCAGGUAAGUUGCUAUGAAGUAGUAACUAUGGUCGUAUCCUGCCUGCUUCCGUAGAAUUAUUGGCAUACCGGCUUUAGCACAUGAUUCGACUAAGUUAUCGGGAAGAAGCUGGCCGUCCUUUAGAAACUGAUCUUCCUCUCCCUAAGAAUUAUUUGUAAAAUAAUUAUCCUGACUUUCGCUACACAAAAAUAGACAGAAAAAUUAG
Molecule: unclassified non-coding RNA, 1968 nt
Filed under: Daphnia magna
Lineage: Eukaryota; Metazoa; Arthropoda; Branchiopoda; Diplostraca; Daphniidae
Description: ras-related and estrogen-regulated growth inhibitor- like protein, transcript variant X1
Source: RNAcentral